This 422-nucleotide ribosomal RNA is filed under the name uncultured bacterium. RNAcentral's name for it is "partial 16S ribosomal RNA". It matches the Rfam family "Bacterial small subunit ribosomal RNA", at positions 360 to 774 of the family's 1533-position model. The record is from RNAcentral.
AAUAUUGGACAAUGGGGGCAACCCUGAUCCAGCCAUGCCGCGUGUGUGAAGAAGGUCUUCGGAUUGUAAAGCACUUUAAGUUGGGAGGAAGGGCUUUAGGCUAAUACCCUGAAGUUUUGACGUUACCAACAGAAUACGCACCGGCUCACUUUGUUCCAGCAGCCGCGGUAAUACAGAGGGUGCAAGCGUUAAUCGGAAUUACUGGGCGUAAAGCGCGCGUAGGUGGUUCGUUAAGUUGGAAGUGAAAGCCCCGGGCUUAACCUGGGAAUUGCUUUCAAAACUGACGAGCUAGAGUACGGUAGAGGGUAGUGGAAUUUCCUGUGUAGCAGUGAAGUGCGUAGAUAUAGGAAGGAACAUCAGUGGCGAAGGCGACUACCUGGACUGAUACUGACACUGAGGUACGAAAGCGUGGGGAGCAAACA